CCUAUGUCGGAUUAGCUAGUUGGUGAGGUAACGGCUCACCAAGGCGACGAUCCGUAGCUGGUCUGAGAGGAUGAUCAGCCACAUGGGACUGAGACACGGCCCAGACUCCUACGGGAGGCAGCAGUGGGGAAUAUUGGACAAUGGGGGAAACCCUGAUCCAGCCAUGCCGCGUGUGUGAAGAAGGCCUUCGGGUUGUAAAGCACUUUCAGCGAGGAAGAAGGCCUGAGGGCUAAUACCCUUCAGGAAGGACAUCACUCGCAGAAGAAGCACCGGCUAACUCCGUGCCAGCAGCCGCGGUAAUACGGAGGGUGCGAGCGUUAAUCGGAAUUACUGGGCGUAAAGCGCGCGUAGGUGGCUUGAUAAGCCGGUUGUGAAAGCCCCGGGCUCAACCUGGGAACGGCAUCCGGAACUGUCAGGCUAGAGUGCAGGAGAGGAAGGUAGAAUUCCCGGUGUAGCGGUGAAAUGCGUAGAGAUCGGGAGGAAUACCAGUGGCGAAGGCGGCCUUCUGG
RNAcentral lists this ribosomal RNA (509 nucleotides) under Halomonas sp. BAB-5591. Its description in RNAcentral is "bacterial SSU rRNA". It matches the Rfam family "Bacterial small subunit ribosomal RNA", at positions 230 to 732 of the family's 1533-position model. The record is from RNAcentral. Lineage: Bacteria; Pseudomonadati; Pseudomonadota; Gammaproteobacteria; Oceanospirillales; Halomonadaceae.